RNAcentral lists this ribosomal RNA (261 nucleotides) under uncultured bacterium. Its description in RNAcentral is "partial 16S ribosomal RNA". It matches the Rfam family "Bacterial small subunit ribosomal RNA", at positions 15 to 257 of the family's 1533-position model. The record is from RNAcentral.
GAUCCUGGCUCAGGAUGAACGCUGGCGGCGUGCUUAACACAUUCAAGUCGAACGGGAAACUUUUCUAUUGAAGCUUCGGCAGAUUUGGUCUGUUUCUAGUGGCGGACGGGUGAGUAACGCGUGGGUAACCUGCCUUAUACAGGGGGAUAACAACCAGAAAUGGUUGCUAAUACCGCAUAAGCGCACAGGACCGCAUGGUCCGGUGUGAAAAACUCCGGUGGUAUAAGAUGGACCCCGCGUUGGAUUAGCUAGUUGGCAGGG